Molecule: ribosomal RNA, 316 nt
Filed under: uncultured eukaryote
Lineage: Eukaryota
Description: partial 18S ribosomal RNA
Rfam family: Eukaryotic small subunit ribosomal RNA
Source: RNAcentral
UCCCUUAGACGUUCUGGGCCGCACGCGCGCUACACUGACCAGUGCAACAAGCAUCCGUCCUUGGCCGACAGGCCCGGGCAAUCUUUGAACGCUGGUCGUGAUGGGGAUAGACUUUUGCAAUUUUUGGUCUUCAACGAGGAAUUCCUAGUAAACGCAAGUCAUCAACUUGCAUUGAUUACGUCCCUGCCCUUUGUACACACCGCCCGUCGCACCUACCGAUUGAAUGGUCCGGUGAAGCCUCCGGAUUGGCGCGCACCUCGGUGCCGCCGAGAAGUUGGCUAAACCUUACCAUUUAGAGGAAGGUGAAGUCGUAACA